UUGCUUCUCUCUCUCACUCACACACACUAGAGUCAUUCCUUUCACUUGAGUGGUAGGUCACUCAAUGCAGGGUAGCAGCACUGUGGUAUUCUGUGGAUGAAACAAUUUAAUCCUGCAUGUUUGCCUCCACAGCCCAAGAGGAAUGUGGACACCUAUUGACAUUGUAGUGACAAAACCUCUCACAGUCUGCAUUAGCAGGUGAACUUUGCUUCGGGUCUGCUUGCACAGUAAUGUGGUAUGGGUGAGGUGUAGGCUGUAGAAGCUGAGUUUCUUGUGGAUGUGUGUUUGUUACUAGUCCUCUUGUACAUGUAUGUGAGAAUUAAAUUACUGUUUUUCUGUC
Alosa sapidissima (American shad) is the source of this 340-nucleotide long non-coding RNA. RefSeq lists it as uncharacterized. Lineage: Eukaryota; Metazoa; Chordata; Actinopteri; Clupeiformes; Clupeidae. The record is from RefSeq and is a predicted model, not a curated record. The transcript is spliced from 2 exons.